Long non-coding RNA from Salvia miltiorrhiza (redroot sage), 583 nucleotides. RefSeq lists it as uncharacterized. The transcript has 3 exons. The record is from RefSeq and is a predicted model, not a curated record. NCBI's taxonomy places the organism in Eukaryota, Viridiplantae, Streptophyta, Magnoliopsida, Lamiales, Lamiaceae.
CCUAAAUAUCUAACCUACCCUACCCCUAACCACCCCCAAACCUCCCAAAACCCCUUUCCCCUCACUAACUCACGCUAUAUCAGCCCACACCACACACACAACUCACAUAUUCACACACACAACACCUAAAACACACACUACACACACCAUUUUCCAUUUAAGCUUGGACGGAGCUUUUGACCUCCGAUUUGAGCACCGAGACGAGCGCCGAUCAUCUUUUCGAUCACGUAUCUAAGUAGGUCCUUUUGGGAAGUAACGACUUGAGGGAGAGAGUGACGUUACUCAUUGAUACAGAGACACAACGAGGUUGAGCUGAUGUGAUGAUGGUGCUGCAAUGAGCGGAGUCUCCAGGGUUGUUAAUAAAUAGUUAACCUGUCUAGAAUAUGUCUUCAUACAUAUGUCUAGCUACUUUCCGCUGCAAGAUGUUGUUGAUGUUAUAGUAUGUUAUGUCAUACUUUGAGUCUUAAGAGAAUGGUUGCAUAUGAUGUAUAACUUGAUUAAUGAUAUUAAUUAACUUUUAUGCAGUCUUUCAUAGACUGUUUUCAAUUGAGUAUUAAUGAAUAAAAAUGACGAGUUUUAUUAA